GUGGGGAAUAUUGGACAAUGGGCGCAAGCCUGAUCCAGCCAUACCGCGUGGGUGAAGAAGGCCUUCGGGUUGUAAAGCCCUUUUGUUGGGAAAGAAAUCCUGUCGGUUAAUACCUGGCGGGGAUGACGGUACCCAAAGAAUAAGCACCGGCUAACUUCGUGCCAGCAGCCGCGGUAAUACGAAGGGUGCAAGUGUUACUCGGAAUUACUGGGCGUAAAGCGUGCGUAGGUGGUGGUUUAAGUCCGUUGUGAAAGCCCUGGGCUCAACCUGGGAAUUGCAGUGGAUACUGGAUCACUAGAGUGUGGUAGAGGGAUGCGGAAUUUCUGGUGUAGCAGUGAAAUGCGUAGAGAUCAGAAGGAACAUCCGUGGCGAAGGCGGCAUCCUGGGCCAACACUGACACUGAGGCACGAAAGCGUGGGGAGCAAACAGGAUUAGAUACCCGAGUAGUCC
This 450-nucleotide ribosomal RNA is filed under the name uncultured bacterium. RNAcentral's name for it is "partial 16S ribosomal RNA". It matches the Rfam family "Bacterial small subunit ribosomal RNA", at positions 354 to 796 of the family's 1533-position model. The record is from RNAcentral.